CCUACGGGGGGCAGCAGUGGGGAAUAUUGCACAAUGGGGGAAACCCUGAUGCAGCAACGCCGCGUGAAGGAAGACGGUUUUCGGAUUGUAAACUUCUGUUCUUAGUGAAGAAUAAUGACGGUAGCUAAGGAGCAAGCCACGGCUAACUACGUGCCAGCAGCCGCGGUAAUACGUAGGUGGCAAGCGUUAUCCGGAUUUAUUGGGUUUAAAGGGUGCGUAGGCGGAAUGCCAAGUCAGCGGUAAAAUCGCGGGGCUCAACCUCGCUCCGCCGUUGAAACUGGCGUUCUUGAGUGGGCGAGAAGUAUGCGGAAUGCGUGGUGUAGCGGUGAAAUGCAUAGAUAUCACGCAGAACUCCGAUUGCGAAGGCAGCAUACCGGCGCCCAACUGACGCUGAAGCACGAAAGCGUGGGUAUCGAACAGGAUUAGAUACCCUGGUAGUC
RNAcentral lists this ribosomal RNA (440 nucleotides) under uncultured bacterium. RNAcentral's name for it is "partial 16S ribosomal RNA". It matches the Rfam family "Bacterial small subunit ribosomal RNA", at positions 338 to 795 of the family's 1533-position model. The record is from RNAcentral.